RNAcentral lists this ribosomal RNA (425 nucleotides) under uncultured bacterium. RNAcentral's name for it is "bacterial SSU rRNA". It matches the Rfam family "Bacterial small subunit ribosomal RNA", at positions 356 to 773 of the family's 1533-position model. The record is from RNAcentral.
AGGGAAUCUUCGGCAAUGGACGAAAGUCUGACCGAGCAACGCCGCGCGAGUGAUGAAGGUUUUCGGAUCGUAAAACUCUGUUGUCAGGGAAGAACAAGUACGAGAGUAACUGCUCGUACCUUGACGGUACCUGACCAGAAAGCCACGGCUAACUACGUGCCAGCAGCCGCGGUAAUACGUAGGUGGCAAGCGUUGUCCGGAAUUAUUGGGCGUAAAGCGCGCGCAGGCGGUUCUUUAAGUCUGAUGUGAAAGCCCACGGCUCAACCGUGGAGGGUCAUUGGAAACUGGGGAACUUGAGUGCAGGAGAGAAAAGUGGAAUUCCACGUGUAGCGGUGAAAUGCGUAGAGAUGUGGAGGAACACCAGUGGCGAAGGCGGCUUUUUGGCCUGUAACUGACGCUGAGGCGCGAAAGCGUGGGGAGCAAAC